AUGGAACUGGAGGGGAUUAUGCUGAGUGAAAGAGCCUUGAAUCAAAAGAGAGGAUGGAAUCUCUGGCUUGAACAAAGAAGUGGUGUAAAAGGUAAGGACAGGAACCUUUCUUACUACUUGGAAGGGCCAGUAGGAGGCAAGUUACUUUCACAGCUAAUACUUACUCCUGAUGAGAAGUAAUGCUCCAGUGUAGGUGGUGCCAUCAUUUUUUUUUUUUUUUUAUAGGUGGGGAUACUGAAGCUCAAAGGGUCAAUAUUUUGCCCCAGGGCACACAGUUAAUACGAGACUAAGCUGAGUGUGUCUGCUUCCAGCUCAAGUUCUUUUUCCCAUAGAAUAAAUAGCUCCCCUGGUGUCGUAUUGUUUUGGAGUGUUCUCGUGAUCUUUUAUGUGUAUGUAUAUUUGAAUUUUUUUUUUUAAGAAUUUAUUUAUUUGAGAGAAAGAGUGAGAGAGAGAUCAUGAACCAGGGGAAAGGGAAGAGGGAGAAGCAGACACACCACUGAGCAGGGAGCCUGAUGACACUCCAUCCCAGGACCCCGAGAUCAUGACCUGAAAUGAUGGCAGAUGCUUAACCAACUGAGCUACCCAGGUGCCCUGAAAUGUUUUUAUUUAUCUACUUCAAUCUCACUAAUACAAUUUUGAAAAUACAAAAGAGUAUACACAUAGGUAUGGAUGCACACAAAAUGGUUCUGUCCUGACUUCAACCGCUUUGGAGAACCUCAUAGGUACAGUAAUGGGCCCUGAGAAAGGUCUCCUUUCUUUUCUUUGUUGAUAUAUUCUUAAAUAUUUUUUCCCCAGACCUUCCCCCCACCCCCAGGGCAAUUUCUGAUGAAAUUACAAUAAAAAUGUAUAUACAGUUUCAACUUUUUAAAAAAUAUUUUAUUUAUUUAUUUAACAGAGAGCGAGAGAUCACAAGUAGGCAGAGAGGCGGGGGGAGGAGGGAGCAGGCUCCCUGCUGAGCAGAGAGCCCGAUGUGGGGCUCCAUCCCAGGACCCUGAGACCAUGAGGCUUUAACCCACUGAGCCACCCAGGUGCCCAUAGU
RNAcentral lists this long non-coding RNA (1039 nucleotides) under Mustela putorius furo (domestic ferret). RNAcentral's name for it is "lncRNA (ENSMPUG00000024746.1)". Lineage: Eukaryota; Metazoa; Chordata; Mammalia; Carnivora; Mustelidae. The record is from RNAcentral.